Molecule: ribosomal RNA, 253 nt
Filed under: uncultured bacterium
Lineage: Bacteria
Description: partial 16S ribosomal RNA
Rfam family: Bacterial small subunit ribosomal RNA
Source: RNAcentral
UACGGAGGGUGCGAGCGUUGUUCGGAAUCACUGGGCGUAAAGCGCGUGUAGGCGGCCCAUUAAGUCUGAUGUGAAAGCCCGGGGCUCACCCCCGGAAGUGCAUUGGAAACUGAUGGACUCGAGUCCCGGAGAGGAGAGUGGAAUUCCUGGUGUAGCGGUGAAAUGCGCAGAUAUCAGGAAGAACACCCGUGGCUAAGGCGGCUCUCUAGUACGGUACUGACGCUGAGACGCGAAAGCGUGGGGAGCGAACAGG